AUUGAACGCUGGCGGCAUGCUUUACACAUGCAAGUCGAACGGCAGCGCGGGCUUCGGCCUGGCGGCGAGUGGCGAACGGGUGAGUAAUUCAUCGGAACGUGCCCAGUAGUGGGGGAUAGCCCGGCGAAAGCCGGAUUAAUACCGCAUACGACCUGAGGGUGAAAGCGGGGGACCGAAAGGCCUCGCGCUAUUGGAGCGGCCGAUGUCGGAUUAGCUAGUUGGUGGGGUAAAGGCUUACCAAGGCGACGAUCCGUAGCUGGUCUGAGAGGACGACCAGCCACACUGGGACUGAGACACGGCCCAGACUCCUACGGGAGGCAGCAGUGGGGAAUUUUGGACAAUGGGGGCAACCCUGAUCCAGCCAUGCCGCGUGCGGGAAGAAGGCCUUCGGGUUGUAAACCGCUUUUGUUCGGGAAGAAAUCCUCUAGGCUAAUACCCCGGGGGGAUGACGGUACCGAAAGAAUAAGCACCGGCUAACUACGUG
This 484-nucleotide ribosomal RNA is filed under the name uncultured bacterium. Its description in RNAcentral is "partial 16S ribosomal RNA". It matches the Rfam family "Bacterial small subunit ribosomal RNA", at positions 29 to 507 of the family's 1533-position model. The record is from RNAcentral.